Molecule: long non-coding RNA, 319 nt
Filed under: Setaria viridis
Lineage: Eukaryota; Viridiplantae; Streptophyta; Magnoliopsida; Poales; Poaceae
Description: long non-coding RNA (SVIR_LNC005006)
Source: RNAcentral
UGGUGGAUGGUUCUAUGGUAGGCAAAUUCUUAUUAUUAAGUCGGCAUUUGAUAAAAAUUUGCUGCUCCUUGUUUUUUGUUAACUAGUUAUGGUGUUCGUCCGUUGCAACAACUUUAAUGAAAAAAGAAUUUCUAGAUUCUUUCUGUUGAGAUAAUUAAAGUUUUGUAAGUUAUUGUUCCUAAAUCUAAAACUUACAUAUAGUCGAUUAUUAAGGCACAAGGAAACCACAAGAGUACAACUCGGCACAGAAGAUCAUCCCUGCACACAUAUAAGCAUACAUAGAUCAAUGCACAAAUGAUCCUUGAGUAUAGAACCAUCC